Non-coding RNA from Sus scrofa (pig), 437 nucleotides. The record is from RefSeq and is a predicted model, not a curated record. NCBI's taxonomy places the organism in Eukaryota, Metazoa, Chordata, Mammalia, Artiodactyla, Suidae.
AGCCACAGCCAUGACAGUGCCAAUCUUUAAGCUGCUGAGCCAGCAGGGAACUCCCCUCAGAGAUUCUCCAAGACAUUUUUAACCAGAACUGAGAUUUGCUGCACACUUUCUAAACUUCAAAAUCCCAGCUGUUUCUGAAAUGAAGAAAAUAAGAGAGAAAGAGAAAGCAGCUUUUCAUGAUCACAAGAAUAUGUCCAAAGCAACUAAAACUGUUCCCAUGAAACUUAUUAAAUUAAUAUUAAAUAUUAAAAAAUUCCUAAGUGUUUUUAAUGGUUGCUAUUUCAUAACACCUAUCUCCAGCAAAAUAAAAACUUGAGUUUUUGAAUAAAAAUCAAUGUAUAAUUCUAUGCUUAAAAUGGUAUUAAAGUGCCAAAGGUAAAAAUUAUCAUUCUUAUGUAAACUACAGAAACAGUCAAAAAUAAAUUGUACAACAUCAA